GUUCAACCCUAGGCAUACACUACUCGCAACACGACAACAGCGCAUUUUCCAUUAUGCCGAAUUUUUAAGUAAUGCCAUGUUGUUGAUCCAUUUUCAAGGGGAUUUGGCACCCACGUGCGGAACUUGCUAACUCGCGUCGUCACACAUCGGCCCUCCACUGCCCUUUGCGCCCCACAGCAGCGGUUCUUCCCUGCACAGCCCUAUCGCUUCCCCCUAUCCCGGUUACAGCCUCUGUGACACCACGACAUUUACGUACACACAAGGGAAUUCUAGUUAUACUAGACCCCAAUAUAGUUUACUGUCUAGUUUACUAUAAGAUUCUAUUUUUUCACAUGUUGCAACAAAAGAUAUUCCGUACGCGCACUCUGCCAGCUGCUCCGCAUACCCUAUGAGACGGCCAGCAAGACAAUGACUGAUGGACCGAGGGGCCACGCAGGGAGAUGCGGACAGCUAAGGAAGAAAUCCCCUCGGGCGGUUCCUGAGGAGGCGUUUGCGAGCAAGACCCCAUAGCAGCGGCUUCGAAGGUCUCCUGCUUCUUUCGUGUUUCGUGUGCUCUUCGCGCACUCGCCUUCUUAAGGCAGAUUUUUCCUUCACGUGAGUGCGGGCUGUCCACUCACCCAACCACCAGGACCGCAACCGAACCCCCGGCAACGCAAGAGAUACAAUCCCUCCACAUCAGCAGCUUGGCGGAGUUGAUGUACAGGCGAACCCAAAGUUAACACGGCCGGACUCCGGGAGUACACUCUACCUACAAUACACUCCAAGAGUAUUUGUUGCGAAGUUAUCAUGCUGCCAAGUUUUGUUUGUGCGUUGAACGACUACGCGCAUUGUUCGGCGUGACCGGUGGUAGCGUAGAACUUGCUCUCCUAUCGGCGAUGAGUGCGCGCCUACGGGCGCCAUUCAAACACGCUGUGCGACACAUGGAUGCUAUUCCACGUUCCUGGCAACUUGCAAUGUGGCCCCCUGCUGGUUACCGGCAAGAGGGCGACCUUCGACGGGGGGAAGGGGCAUACGCGCAAGGUCGUUAAACGAUACGUCGAUGGAGGUUUUUCGACGUCCAGGGUUUUUCUACAGGCGACAGACAGAAGGCAAACAGACGCGGAACGGUUCUCCGGGCGUACAGUGCUUUGAAAACUCUGCCGGGGCCAUGUCUUGUAGUUUUACGGGAUUCCAAGGCAGCCGCGCAGUGCCGGGCUGGAAGCUGUUGACGCGGCUGGGAGCUUGGUUGUGACCAGCAACCUGAAUUUGAUGGUUGCCAACGAGGGCUGGUACGCAGACAGUUGCUGCAAUGAAAACGAGUGAAUUAAUAAGGUCUGAAACGGCCCUGGCCUGCGGCUCAUGUAUUGGGCGAAGGACAGUGCUGCUUAAACAACGGCCAAGCUAGGAUUGCACUAUGGCACGAUGACAUCACAAACAUAUGUGGCAUUGGACGCGGUACUUAUCUCCAGUAAAUUUACUAGCCGCAGGGUGUUACCUCUAUUGCAAAAUAGCUUCAAAGAUUUGUGAUGGCAUUCCAACUCGAGCUAGGUCAAGUGUGAGGCAGGCGAGCUCAAGGCCCAAGUAUAAGAAUUUGUCAAAUUAUACCUAAUGAACUGAGCCAGUCAGGUCUGACGUGUCAUGCAUCAGCUACCAGCUAGCCGUUGCUGAAUGCUUACCAUAGGACGUCCGUUCCGUCCGCAAAAUUUCCACUUCCAGGCGCGACGAAACAAAGUUAUAAGCUUAUCAUGUAACCUUCGUAAGUAUACGGGCUUGCCGGCUGGCAGGUUUGUUGCCGUACAGAGUAAGGGCGGUUGUCCGUCGUCAGCAUGGU
This 1810-nucleotide long non-coding RNA is filed under the name Volvox carteri. Its description in RNAcentral is "long non-coding RNA (VCAR_LNC002532)". Lineage: Eukaryota; Viridiplantae; Chlorophyta; Chlorophyceae; Chlamydomonadales; Volvocaceae. The record is from RNAcentral.